AGAGUUUGAUCCUGGCUCAGGACGAACGCUGGCGGCGUGCCUAAUACAUGCAAGUAGAACGCUGAAGAGAGGAGCUUGCUCUUCUUGGAUGAGUUGCGAACGGGUGAGUAACGCGUAGGUAACCUGCCUUGUAGCGGGGGAUAACUAUUGGAAACGAUAGCUAAUACCGCAUAACAAUGGAUGACACAUGUCAUUUAUUUGAAAGGGGCAAUUGUUCCACUACAAGAUGGACCUGCGUUGUAUUAGCUAGUAGGUGAGGUAAUGGCUCACCUAGGCGACGAUACAUAGCCGACCUGAGAGGGUGAUCGGCCACACUGGGACUGAGACACGGCCCAAACUCCUACGGGAGGCAGCAGUAGGGAAUCUUCGGCAAUGGGGGCAACCCUGACCGAGCAACGCCGCGUGAGUGAAGAAGGUUUUCGGAUCGUAAAGCUCUGUUGUAAGUCAAGAACGGGUGUGAGAGUGGAAAGUUCACACUGUGACGGUAGCUUACCAGAAAGGGACGGCUAACUACGUGCCAGCAGCCGCGGUAAUACGUAGGUCCCGAGCGUUGUCCGGAUUUAUUGGGCGUAAAGCGAGCGCAGGCGGUUUGAUAAGUCUGAAGUUAAAGGCUGUGGCUCAACCAUAGUUCGCUUUGGAAACUGUCAAACUUGAGUGCAGAAGGGGAGAGUGGAAUUCCAUGUGUAGCGGUGAAAUGCGUAGAUAUAUGGAGGAACACCGGUGGCGAAAGCGGCUCUCUGGUCUGUAACUGACGCUGAGGCUCGAAAGCGUGGGGAGCGAACAGGAUUAGAUACCCUGGUAGUCCACGCCGUAAACGAUGAGUGCUAGGUGUUGGAUCCUUUCCGGGAUUCAGUGCCGCAGCUAACGCAUUAAGCACUCCGCCUGGGGAGUACGACCGCAAGGUUGAAACUCAAAGGAAUUGACGGGGGCCCGCACAAGCGGUGGAGCAUGUGGUUUAAUUCGAAGCAACGCGAAGAACCUUACCAGGUCUUGACAUCCCGAUGCUAUUUCUAGAGAUAGAAAGUUACUUCGGUACAUCGGUGACAGGUGGUGCAUGGUUGUCGUCAGCUCGUGUCGUGAGAUGUUGGGUUAAGUCCCGCAACGAGCGCAACCCCUAUUGUUAGUUGCCAUCAUUCAGUUGGGCACUCUAGCGAGACUGCCGGUAAUAAACCGGAGGAAGGUGGGGAUGACGUCAAAUCAUCAUGCCCCUUAUGACCUGGGCUACACACGUGCUACAAUGGUUGGUACAACGAGUUGCGAGUCGGUGACGGCGAGCUAAUCUCUUAAAGCCAAUCUCAGUUCGGAUUGUAGGCUGCAACUCGCCUACAUGAAGUCGGAAUCGCUAGUAAUCGCGGAUCAGCACGCCGCGGUGAAUACGUUCCCGGGCCUUGUACACACCGCCCGUCACACCACGAGAGUUUGUAACACCCGAAGUCGGUGAGGUAACCUUUUGGAGCCAGCCGCCUAAGGUGGGACAGAUGAUUGGGGUGAAGUCGUAACAAGGUA
This 1506-nucleotide ribosomal RNA is filed under the name metagenome. Its description in RNAcentral is "bacterial SSU rRNA". It matches the Rfam family "Bacterial small subunit ribosomal RNA". The record is from RNAcentral.